RNAcentral lists this ribosomal RNA (253 nucleotides) under uncultured bacterium. RNAcentral describes it as "partial 16S ribosomal RNA". It matches the Rfam family "Bacterial small subunit ribosomal RNA", at positions 524 to 776 of the family's 1533-position model. The record is from RNAcentral.
UACGUAGGGGGCAAGCGUUGUCCGGAUUUAUUGGGCGUAAAGAGCGUGUAGGCGGCCAGACAGGUCCGUUGUGAAAACUCGAGGCUCAACCUCGAGACGGCGAUGGAAACCGUUUGGCUAGAGUCCGGAAGAGGAGAGUGGAAUUCCUGGUGUAGCGGUGAAAUGCGCAGAUAUCAGGAAGAACACCAGUGGCUAAGGCGGCUCUCUAGUCCGGUACUGACGCUGAGACGCGAAAGCGUGGGGAGCGAACAGG